GACGAACGCUGGCGGCGUGCUUAACACAUGCAAGUCGAACGGAAAGGCCCUGCUUUUGUGGGGUGCUCGAGUGGCGAACGGGUGAGUAACACGUGAGUAACCUGCCCUUGACUUUGGGAUAACUUCAGGAAACUGGGGCUAAUACCGGAUAGGAGCUCCUGCUGCAUGGUGGGGGUGGGAAAGUUUCGGCGGUUGGGGAUGGCCUCGCGGCUUACCAGCUUGUUGGUGGGGUAGUGGCUUACCAAGGCUUUGAGGGGUAGCCGGCCUGAGAGGGUGACCGGCCACAUUGGGACUGAGAUACGGCCCAGACUCCUACGGGAGGCAGCAGUGGGGAAUAUUGCACAAUGGGCGGAAGCCUGAUGCAGCAACGCCGCGUGCGGGAUGACGGCCUUCGGGUUGUAAACCGCUUUCGCCUGUGACGAAGCGUGAGUGACGGUAAUGGGUAAAGAAGCACCGGCUAACUACGUG
This 468-nucleotide ribosomal RNA is filed under the name uncultured bacterium. RNAcentral's name for it is "partial 16S ribosomal RNA". It matches the Rfam family "Bacterial small subunit ribosomal RNA", at positions 28 to 507 of the family's 1533-position model. The record is from RNAcentral.